GACGAACGCUGGCGGCGUGGAUUAGGCAUGCAAGUCGAACGGUAUCAUCCUUUCGGGGGUGAGAGAGUGGCGAACUGGUGAGUAACACGUAGGUUAUCUACCCUCAAGACGGGGACAACCCAGGGAAACUUGGGCUAAUACCGGAUGUGAGCAACUUUUAGUUGUUUGAAAGGUGGCGUAAGCUGUCGCUUGGGGAUGAGCCUGCGUCCUAUUAGUUAGUUGGUGAGGUAACGGCUCACCUAGGCAAUGAUAGGUAGGCGGCCUUAACGGGUGGUCGCCCACACUGGGAUUGAGAUACGGCCCAGACUCCUACGGGAGGCAGCAGUCGAGAAUAGUCUACAAUGGUCGGAAGACUGAUAGUGCGACGCCGCGUGAACGAUGAAUCCCUUCGGGGUUAAAGUUCUUUUAUAUGUGAGCAGUGCUUCUUAUAUUAACAGUAUGGGGAGAGAGAUAUUAGCAUAUGAAUAAGCAACGGCUAACUCCGUGCCAGCAGCCGCGGU
Molecule: ribosomal RNA, 500 nt
Filed under: uncultured bacterium
Lineage: Bacteria
Description: bacterial SSU rRNA
Rfam family: Bacterial small subunit ribosomal RNA
Source: RNAcentral